UGGGGAAUAUUGCACAAUGGGCGCAAGCCUGAUGCAGCAACGCCGCGUGAACGAUGAAGGUCUUCGGAUCGUAAAGUUCUGUUGCAGGGGAAGAUAAUGACGGUACCCUGUGAGGAAGCCCCGGCUAACUACGUGCCAGCAGCCGCGGUAAUACGUAGGGGGCUAGCGUUAUCCGGAUUUACUGGGCGUAAAGGGUGCGUAGGUGGUCCUUCAAGUCGGUGGUUAAAGGCUACGGCUCAACCGUAGUAAGCCGCCGAAACUGGAGGACUUGAGUGCAGGAGAAGAAAGUGGAAUUCCCGGUGUAGCGGUGAAAUGCGUAGAUAUUGGGAGGAACACCAGUAGCGAAGGCGGCUUUCUGGACUGCAACUGACACUGAGGCACGAAAGCGUGGGUAGCAAACAGG
Molecule: ribosomal RNA, 403 nt
Filed under: Verrucomicrobiota bacterium
Lineage: Bacteria; Pseudomonadati; Verrucomicrobiota
Description: Verrucomicrobia bacterium partial 16S ribosomal RNA
Rfam family: Bacterial small subunit ribosomal RNA
Source: RNAcentral